GAUGAAGAACGUAGCGAAAUGCGAUACUUGGUGUGAAUUGCAGAAUCCCGUGAACCAUCGAGUCUUUGAACGCAAGUUGCGCCCGAAGCCAUUAGGCCGAGGGCACGCCUGCCUGGGUGUCACACACCGUUACCCUCGCGCCAACGUCCAUCGUUGGCCGCGGCGCGGGGCGUGCGCUGACCUCCCGCGAGCGGGGUCUCGUGGUUGGUUGAAAAUCGAGUUCGCGGUCGAGGGUGCCGUGAUGAAAUGGUGGAUGGGCGACGCCCGAGGCCAAUCACGCGCGACUCUGUCCGGCUCGNANUCCUGGACCCCUUCGGCGUCUCCGGACGCUCUUUGGCGAGACCUCAGGUCAGGCGGGGCUACCCGCUGAGUUUAAGCAUAUCAAUAAGCGGAGGA
Molecule: unclassified non-coding RNA, 396 nt
Filed under: soil metagenome
Description: partial contains 5.8S ribosomal RNA, internal transcribed spacer 2, and large subunit ribosomal RNA
Rfam family: 5.8S ribosomal RNA (bases 1-122)
Source: RNAcentral